GGAGAAACCCGCGAUUAGUCGAUUCUCGUAUUCAGGUGCGCAGACUGGGAGACCCAAACUACUCGGAUCCAGACGGUUUGCAAGAGACCAGCAAAGAUGGUGGAGUAGGAAGAAGCUGCAAAGCCUGGCUCCCCCCACAGUUCCUCCAAUAAAGAACUAAUUGGGUACCGGACUGAGUUGUGAUCAUUGGAUUGAAGGAGAAACCAUGAACUUGACAAACACCAGGAAGCAGCAACACCAUUUGCAAUGAAGAAUUGAAAAGGGGAUCGUACAUGAAAUCAUGAAUCUCCACAACACGUAGCUUGCUUUCCUGUUUUCAGAAAUUUGGCUGGAGGAAUUCUAUGUGAACUGGAACAACCUCCAGGAAGUGAUGCAGAGUGAGAGGAGCAGAACCAGGAGAACACUGUACACAGAGACUGAUACACUGUGGCACAAUUGAAUGUAAUGGACUUCUCUACUAGCAGCAAUGCUAGUAGAGACAAGACAAUUCUGAGGGACUUAUGAGAAAGAUCCUAUCCACAUCUAGAGAAAGAACUGUGGGAGUAGAAACACAGAAGAAAAACAACUGCUUGAUCACAUGGGUCGGUGGGGCCAAGACUGGGAAAGUAGACUCUAAAGGAUAUGGAAAUAGGUCUUGAUCACUGACACAUGUAAAACCAGUGGAAUUGCUCCUUGGCUCUGGGAGGGGGGAGGGAGGAGGGAAGGGAAAGAACAUGAAUCAUGUAACCAUGGAAAAAUAUUCCAAGUUAAUUAAUUAAAUAAAGCUGAAGCAAUUGUGAAGAAAAAAGAAA
This is a long non-coding RNA of Monodelphis domestica (gray short-tailed opossum), 791 nucleotides long. RefSeq lists it as uncharacterized. NCBI's taxonomy places the organism in Eukaryota, Metazoa, Chordata, Mammalia, Didelphimorphia, Didelphidae. The record is from RefSeq and is a predicted model, not a curated record.